This 253-nucleotide ribosomal RNA is filed under the name uncultured bacterium. RNAcentral describes it as "partial 16S ribosomal RNA". It matches the Rfam family "Bacterial small subunit ribosomal RNA", at positions 524 to 776 of the family's 1533-position model. The record is from RNAcentral.
UACGAAGGGGGCUAGCGUUGUUCGGAAUUACUGGGCGUAAAGCGCACGUAGGCGGAUUGUUAAGUGAGGGGUGAAAUCCCAGGGCUCAACCCUGGAACUGCCUUUCAUACUGGCAAUCUCGAGUCCGAGAGAGGUGAGUGGAAUUCCGAGUGUAGAGGUGAAAUGCGUAGAUAUUCGGAGGAACACCAGUGGCGAAGGCGGCUCACUGGCUCGGUACUGACGCUGAGGUGCGAAAGCGUGGGGAGCAAACAGG